UACGGAGGGGGCUAGCGUUGUUCGGAAUUACUGGGCGUAAAGCGCACGUAGGCGGCUUUGUAAGUUAGAGGUGAAAGCCCAGGGCUUAACCCUGGAAUUGCCUUUAAGACUGCAUCGCUAGAAUCGUGGAGAGGUAAGUGGAAUUCCGAGUGUAGAGGUGAAAUUCGUAGAUAUCGGGAGGAACACCAGUGGCGAAGGCGGCGAUCUGGGAAGAUACUGACGCUGAGGUGCGAAAGCGUGGGGAGCAAACAGG
RNAcentral lists this ribosomal RNA (253 nucleotides) under uncultured bacterium. RNAcentral describes it as "partial 16S ribosomal RNA". It matches the Rfam family "Bacterial small subunit ribosomal RNA", at positions 524 to 776 of the family's 1533-position model. The record is from RNAcentral.